Molecule: long non-coding RNA, 1350 nt
Organism: Felis catus (domestic cat)
Lineage: Eukaryota; Metazoa; Chordata; Mammalia; Carnivora; Felidae
Exons: 3
Source: RefSeq, a predicted model, not a curated record
GGGAGCUCGGUUUCCUGGGAUACGGCCUGUGGAUUACACUUGGCCCCCAAAUCCCCUGCAGUGUGUCUAAACUGAAGCCCCAGCAGUUGGAACCAGUAAUGAGCUAGGUAUAACCUUGGGCAGUUUUGUCUUCGACUAAAUUUUCUUUUGGUUCCUGAUAGGUCUCCUGGGACUGCUCCCACGUUUCCCAUCACAGCACAAGCUGCAAACGAGACUCUUGGGUUUCAGCAGGGAGGCUUCAGUUUCGAUGGUCCGCUUUCAAAGAACGAGACUGGCUCAGUCCAGCUUGAAAGCAGUGUGAGGAAUAUUCUUCCCCUUAACGGUUAAGAAAAAAAUGAACUGAAGAAAUAAAUUACUACGACACCAGGGACCGUGGCGCUGAGAGAAUGAAAUAACCAAAGGGAAAAUCACUUUUCCAUCAUUGCAUAGUCUCCCGCAGCAGCAAAUGCAAAGGACAGCACAGAAAAGCCACUUCAUUUUUACACAGCCCGGGGGUCAUUUUUCGGCUUACCUGGGCUCCUAUGCUAUCUGGUUGCUUUGUAAGAGCACACACACCCUGACCUCCCUAACCCUCAAAGAGAAGGUAGUUCCCUGCACAUGAAGCACAAUGACAAAACACACGCACUCAAGCCUCUAGAAAGCUGCAGCUGUCUCCGCCUCUUGACGGCAUUUAGAUACACACUGUGGGAUCGGCAAGGCAGAGCCUCAGAGCAGGGUCACAAGGGCAGCUGCCUGUGGUCCUUUGUCCAAAGGACUGGGACGAUCCCAUUCUCCCAGCAGCUACUCCAGGGGGGGCAGCAGCUGGGCCCUGGCCUCCUCUUGGGCCGGGGCUUCCAGGUCCAGACACCGGCCACUGCCCUGGGUUUGUUACGGCUGUAGCCGGGGCAACAGCAGAGGCCGAGGCUGGCCAGGCUCUGAAAGCACAUUAUAAGAUAAAGUGUACAUUGUAAUAAAAAUUGUCUGCAGCUAUUAGAUGAAUCUUUAUAAAUCAGAUCUAAGAUAAAUUAACAUUUUAGAGCUGUGAGUUCGGAAGCAGUUGUCCAAAAGAGGAAGCAACAGGCUGGAGGCGCCAAAGUCUGACAAUGGUGUAAAGUCUCACUUUAGACUGUGUUCCUUCCCUACAGGUGGUCAGAGGCUGCCACCAACUCAAACCACUGCCUAAGAGCAUCACUGAGCGUCUCGGGGAGCGCGUUCACAUCGCGAAGGAUGAUGUAGAAUGGGAACGGGAACUCUUCCAUGUAGGAUCGGAUUUCAGGCAUCUCUCCAGGUCCUUUAAAUAUGGGCACUUUGAUGUCCAAGAUAGAAUCCUGUAAACAGGAGACAUUUUGAAAUAAAAACCAAACCAAUAUC